UUCUAAUAUGUCUUGAUCCUCAAGACAUAUUAGAAAAUACAUCGCAUUAGCAAAAUGUGGUCAAUAUGGAUAGUAUAUAUAUAAAAAGAAAGCAGUAAUUUUUUUUAUUUAAAUUGCGUUUUUAAAUUAAAAUUGUUGCUUGGACUAAGUCCAGUGUAACCUAUUGGGCUUCCAAUAUCAGCCCAUUCGCCAACAUGAGGACUUUGUACUUGGAAUUAUGUAAAUUUAUCAGUAUCAAUUAACUGCAUAUUCGGAUUUUUCAUCACCCAUACACUGUAUUUUUCAGAAACAAAAUAGUUUUGCAAACUUGAAGCAUAUUAAUUGAAACGGGAUCAAAUAAUUCCUACACAAAGCAGCACAACAGACAUGUAGUAGUAUAGCCGCACAAGAACAUAACGGGCACACAGAAUCGGUGUAAUCCAUGUGGAACGAGCCAUGAGAGGAUGGCCCUCAGCGAGUCAAGGCCGCGAGCAGAGAAGCCAUGGUGGUGAGAACCAGCACACAGAGACCAGGUACCGCCGCGGUCGAUCCGCUCUCCAUGGUCGGCGCUGGCGCUGGAGCUUCCUGCGCAUGAACGACUGCGAUCGAUACAAGUAGCAGAAGAAGCAGAGGUACCUUCAUCAUCAAUGCUUCCAUUUCUCUCUGAUACACCAGUGCCAGAGAGAAAGAGAGAGAGAGAGCGCUUGGGUUGUUGUGAAUGUGAGAGAGCUUGGGAGGCAUAUAUAGAGAGAGAAAGGAUGGGAGAGGACGAGACAGAGCCGUUGGGAAGGGGGAAG
This 776-nucleotide long non-coding RNA is filed under the name Musa acuminata (dwarf banana). Its description in RNAcentral is "long non-coding RNA (MACU_LNC003523)". The record is from RNAcentral. Lineage: Eukaryota; Viridiplantae; Streptophyta; Magnoliopsida; Zingiberales; Musaceae.